AACGAACGCUGGCGGCAGGCCUAACACAUGCAAGUCGAGCGCCCCUUCGGGGGAGCGGCGGACGGGUUAGUAACGCGUGGGAACGUGCCCAGAUCUACGGAAUAGCCUUUGGAAACGAAGAGUAAUACCGUAUACGCCCUUCGGGGGAAAGAUUUAUCGGAUUUGGAUCGGCCCGCGUUAGAUUAGUUAGUUGGUGGGGUAACGGCCUACCAAGACGACGAUCUAUAGCUGGUUUGAGAGGAUGAUCAGCAACACUGGGACUGAGACACGGCCCAGACUCCUACGGGAGGCAGCAGUGGGGAAUCUUAGACAAUGGGCGCAAGCCUGAUCUAGCCAUGCCGCGUGAGUGACGAAGGCCUUAGGGUCGUAAAGCUCUUUCGCCAGGGAUGAUAAUGACAGUACCUGGUAAAGAAACCCCGGCUAACUCCGUGCCAGCCGCCGCCGUAACAC
RNAcentral lists this ribosomal RNA (450 nucleotides) under uncultured bacterium. RNAcentral describes it as "bacterial SSU rRNA". It matches the Rfam family "Bacterial small subunit ribosomal RNA", at positions 29 to 526 of the family's 1533-position model. The record is from RNAcentral.